Molecule: ribosomal RNA, 465 nt
Filed under: Vreelandella stevensii
Lineage: Bacteria; Pseudomonadati; Pseudomonadota; Gammaproteobacteria; Oceanospirillales; Halomonadaceae
Description: partial 16S ribosomal RNA
Rfam family: Bacterial small subunit ribosomal RNA
Source: RNAcentral
CCUACGGGUGGCAGCAGUGGGGAAUAUUGGACAAUGGGGGGAACCCUGAUCCAGCCAUGCCGCGUGUGUGAAGAAGGCCCUCGGGUUGUAAAGCACUUUCAGUGAGGAAGAACGCCUGGUGGUUAAUACCCAUCAGGAAAGACAUCACUCACAGAAGAAGCACCGGCUAACUCCGUGCCAGCAGCCGCGGUAAUACGGAGGGUGCGAGCGUUAAUCGGAAUUACUGGGCGUAAAGCGCGCGUAGGUGGCUUGAUAAGCCGGUUGUGAAAGCCCCGGGCUCAACCUGGGAACGGCAUCCGGAACUGUCAAGCUAGAGUGCAGGAGAGGAAGGUAGCAUUCCCGGUGUAGCGGUGAAAUGCGUAGAGAUCGGGAGGAAUACCAGUGGCGAAGGCGGCCUUCUGGACUGACACUGACACUGAGGUGCGAAAGCGUGGGUAGCAAACAGGAUUAGAUACCCGGGUAGUC